UGAGAAAGGUUAGCCCUGAGAUGGGAUGGU
RNAcentral lists this non-coding RNA (30 nucleotides) under Homo sapiens (human). Lineage: Eukaryota; Metazoa; Chordata; Mammalia; Primates; Hominidae. The record is from RNAcentral.